AUGCAUGCAGUCGUACGCACGCGCUUCGGCGCGUGAGUGGCGCACGGCUGAGUAACACGUGGGAACCCGCCCUCCGGUGGGGGAUAACGCGACGAAAGUCGCGCUAAUCCCGCAUACGUCCGCAAGGGGAAAGCGCUUCGGCGCGCCGGAGGAGGGGCCUGCGGCCCAUCAGGUGGUUGGUGGGGUAACGGCCUACCAAGCCGAUGACGGGUAGCUGGUCUGGGAGGAUGACCAGCCAGACUGGGACUGAGACACGGCCCAGACUCCUACGGGAGGCAGCAGCAAGGAAUUUUCGGCAAUGGGCGCAAGCCUGACCGAGCAACGCCGCGUGCGGGAUGACGGCCUUCGGGUUGUAAACCGCUUUUCGGGGGGACGACUACGACGGUACCCCCGGAAGAAGCCCCGGCUAACUCUGUGCCAGCAGCCGCGGUAAGACAGAGGGGGCGAGCGUUGUCCGGAGUUACUGGGCGUAAAGCGCGCGCAGGCGGUGGUCUCAGUGUCGUGUGAAAGCCCCCGGCUCAACCGGGGGAGGUCAUGGCAAACUAGACGACUGGAGCGGCGGAGAGGCCCCUCGAAUUGCCGGUGUAGCGGUGAAAUGCGUAGAGAUCGGCAGGAAGACCAAGGGGGAAGCCAGGGGGCUGGCCGCUGGCUGACGCUGAGGCGCGACAGCGUGGGGAGCAAACCGGA
This 687-nucleotide ribosomal RNA is filed under the name uncultured bacterium. RNAcentral describes it as "bacterial SSU rRNA". It matches the Rfam family "Bacterial small subunit ribosomal RNA", at positions 51 to 777 of the family's 1533-position model. The record is from RNAcentral.